RNAcentral lists this ribosomal RNA (500 nucleotides) under uncultured bacterium. RNAcentral describes it as "partial 16S ribosomal RNA". It matches the Rfam family "Bacterial small subunit ribosomal RNA", at positions 30 to 523 of the family's 1533-position model. The record is from RNAcentral.
AUUGAACGCUGGCGGCAUGCCUUACACAUGCAAGUCGAACGGCAGCACGGGAGCAAUCCUGGUGGCGAGUGGCGAACGGGUGAGUAAAGUAUCGGAACGUGCCCAGUCGUGGGGGAUAACGUAGCGAAAGUUACGCUAAUACCGCAUACGAUCUAUGGAUGAAAGCGGGGGAUCGCAAGACCUCGCGCGAUUGGAGCGGCCGAUAUCAGAUUAGGUAGUUGGUGGGGUAAAGGCCCACCAAGCCGACGAUCUGUAGCUGGUCUGAGAGGACGACCAGCCGCACUCGGCUUGAGACACGGCUCAGGCUCCUACGGGAGGCAGCAGUGGGGAAUUUUGGAGAUUGGGCGAAAGCCUGAUCCAGCCAUGCCGCGUGCAGGAUGAAGGCCUUCGGGUUGUAAACUGCUUUUGUACGGAACGAAAAGGUUUGGGCUAAUAAGCUGAGCUCAUGACGGUACCGUAAGAAUAAGCACCGGCUAACUACGUGCCAGCCGCCGCUGUAA